CGGCGAGCGAACGGGGAGCAGCCCAGAGCCUGAAUCAGUGUGUGUGUUAGUGGAAGCGUCUGGAAAGGCGUGCGAUACAGGGUGACAGCCCCGUACACAAAAAUGCACAUACUGUGAGCUCGAUGAGUAGGGCGGGACACGUGGUAUCCUGUCUGAAUAUGGGGGGACCAUCCUCCAAGGCUAAAUACUCCUGACUGACCGAUAGUGAACCAGUACCGUGAGGGAAAGGCGAAAAGAACCCCGGCGAGGGGAGUGAAAAAGAACCUGAAACCGUGUACGUACAAGCAGUGGGAGCCUCUUAAUGGGGUGACUGCGUACCUUUUGUAUAAUGGGUCAGCGACUUAUAUUCUGUAGCAAGGUUAACCGAAUAGGGGAGCCGAAGGGAAACCGAGUCUUAACUGGGCGUUAAGUUGCAGGGUAUAGACCCGAAACCCGGUGAUCUAGCCAUGGGCAGGUUGAAGGUUGGGUAACACUAACUGGAGGACCGAACCGACUAAUGUUGAAAAAUUAGCGGAUGACUUGUGGCUGGGGGUGAAAGGCCAAUCAAACCGGGAGAUAGCUGGUUCUCCCCGAAAGCUAUUUAGGUAGCGCCUCGUGAAUUCAUCUCCGGGGGUAGAGCACUGUUUCGGCAAGGGGGUCAUCCCGACUUACCAACCCGAUGCAAACUGCGAAUACCGGAGAAUGUUAUCACGGGAGACACACGGCGGGUGCUAACGUCCGUCGUGAAGAGGGAAACAACCCAGACCGCCAGCUAAGGUCCCAAAGUCAUGGUUAAGUGGGAAACGAUGUGGGAAGGCCCAGACAGCCAGGAUGUUGGCUUAGAAGCAGCCAUCAUUUAAAGAAAGCGUAAUAGCUCACUGGUCGAGUCGGCCUGCGCGGAAGAUGUAACGGGGCUAAACCAUG
Molecule: ribosomal RNA, 903 nt
Filed under: Escherichia coli
Lineage: Bacteria; Pseudomonadati; Pseudomonadota; Gammaproteobacteria; Enterobacterales; Enterobacteriaceae
Description: partial 23S ribosomal RNA
Rfam family: Bacterial large subunit ribosomal RNA
Source: RNAcentral